AGCGAACGCUGGCGGCAGGCCUAACACAUGCAAGUCGAACGAACUCUUCGGAGUUAGUGGCGGACGGGUGAGUAACGCGUGGGAACGUGCCUUUAGGUUCGGAAUAACUCAGGGAAACUUGUGCUAAUACCGAAUGUGCCCUUCGGGGGAAAGAUUUAUCGCCUUUAGAGCGGCCCGCGUCUGAUUAGCUAGUUGGUGAGGUAACGGCUCACCAAGGCGACGAUCAGUAGCUGGUCUGAGAGGAUGGCCAGCCACACUGGGACUGAGACACGGCCCAGACUCCUACGGGAGGCAGCAGUGGGGAAUCUAGCGCAAUGGGCGAAAGCCUGACGCAGCCAUGCCGCGUGAAUGAUGAAGGUCUUAGGAUUGUAAAAUUCUUUCACCGGGGACGAUAAUGACGGUACCCGGAGAAGAAGCCCCGGCUAACUUCGUGCCAGCCGCCGCAGUAA
This 449-nucleotide ribosomal RNA is filed under the name uncultured bacterium. RNAcentral's name for it is "partial 16S ribosomal RNA". It matches the Rfam family "Bacterial small subunit ribosomal RNA", at positions 29 to 523 of the family's 1533-position model. The record is from RNAcentral.